This 74-nucleotide transfer RNA is filed under the name Microcoleus asticus IPMA8. Its description in RNAcentral is "tRNA-His". It matches the Rfam family "tRNA". Rfam says of the family: Transfer RNA (tRNA) molecules are approximately 80 nucleotides in length. Their secondary structure includes four short double-helical elements and three loops (D, anti-codon, and T loops). The record is from RNAcentral. Lineage: Bacteria; Bacillati; Cyanobacteriota; Cyanophyceae; Oscillatoriales; Microcoleaceae.
GCGAGUGUAGCCAAGUGGUUAAGGCAGUGGUUUGUGGUACCACCAUUCGUGGGUUCAAUUCCCAUCAUUCGCCC